UACGUAGGGUGCGAGCGUUGUCCGGAAUUAUUGGGCGUAAAGAGCUCGUAGGCGGUCUGUCGCGUCGGUCGUGAAAACUUGGGGCUUAACCCUGAGCUUGCGGUCGAUACGGGCAUGACUGGAGUUCGGCAGGGGAGACUGAAUUCCUGGUGUAGCGGUGAAAUGCGCAGAUAUCAGGAGGAACACCGGUGGCGAAGGCGGGUCUCUGGGCCGAUACUGACGCUGAGGAGCGAAAGCGUGGGGAGCGAACAGG
This 253-nucleotide ribosomal RNA is filed under the name uncultured bacterium. RNAcentral's name for it is "partial 16S ribosomal RNA". It matches the Rfam family "Bacterial small subunit ribosomal RNA", at positions 524 to 776 of the family's 1533-position model. The record is from RNAcentral.